Molecule: microRNA precursor, 92 nt
Organism: Chlorocebus sabaeus (green monkey)
Lineage: Eukaryota; Metazoa; Chordata; Mammalia; Primates; Cercopithecidae
Source: Ensembl
UGUAUUAGGUUGAUGCAAAAGUAAUUGUGGUUUUUUCCAUUAUUUUUAAUAGCAAAAACUGCAAUUACUUUUACACCAACCCUAAUAAAUCU